Non-coding RNA from Octopus bimaculoides (California two-spot octopus), 594 nucleotides. NCBI's taxonomy places the organism in Eukaryota, Metazoa, Mollusca, Cephalopoda, Octopoda, Octopodidae. The record is from Rfam.
AAUAAGGACAAUGUUUAAUAUAUUUUCAUAGCUGAGUGCCGAGGACACAAUGUUGCCCAACCUUGAUUUAAACGGUCAGGUGGUGGAGUGGUAAACUAAGUGGGAUCCCUCUCUCGAUCUCGAUUUUCAGCACGAAUACGGACCGCGAAAGCGUGGCCCGUUGAUCCUUUCCGAACAGCGGCGAGCUUUGCAUCCGCAUAGAGGUGUCAGAAAAGUUACCACAGGGAUAAAUGGCUUGUGGUGGCCAAGCGUUUGCAAAGACAUUGCUUUCUGAUCCUUCGAUGUUGGCUCUUCCUAUCAUUGAUUUCAAAUUUUGGCACAAGGCCAGAGGGAAUAAGUAGAUUACAUCGUCUCACGUGCUAAACUGGUACUUAUUUUAUUGUUCUCGGAAGGAUGAAAGACAAAGUAGGCCUCAGCGGAAUUUGAACUCAAAACCUAAAGACAGACGAAAUGCCGCUAAGUAUUUUGGCCAGCGUGCUAACGAUUCUACCAGCUCCAUCCAAUGCGAAGCAGAAUUCGUAAAGCGCUGGAUUGUUCACCCACUAACAGGGAACGCGAGCUGGAUUGAGACCGUCGUGAGACAGGUUAGUUUUA